AUUGAACGCUGGCGGCAGGCUUAACACAUGCAAGUCGAACGAGUGGCGGACGGGUGAGUAAUGCUUGGGAAUCUAGCUUAUUGAGGGGGAUAACUACGGGGAACUGUAGCUAAUACCGCGUACCAUAGGCUGAGCCCAGUUGGGAUUAGGUAGUUGGGGAGGUAAAGGCUCACCAAGCCGCCGAUGUCUAGCUGGUCUGAGAGGAGGACCAGCCACACUGGGACUGGGACACGGCCCGGACGCCUACGGGAGGCAGCAGUGGGGAAUAUUGCGCAAUGGGGGCAACCUGACGCAGCCAUGCCGCGUGGAUGAAGAAGGCCUUCGGGUGGUAAAGUGCUUUCGUUAGGGAGGCGUUAACUACAGAAGAAGCACCGGCUAACUCCGUGCCAGCCGCCGCGGUAAUUC
Molecule: ribosomal RNA, 405 nt
Filed under: uncultured bacterium
Lineage: Bacteria
Description: partial 16S ribosomal RNA
Rfam family: Bacterial small subunit ribosomal RNA
Source: RNAcentral